This 252-nucleotide ribosomal RNA is filed under the name uncultured bacterium. RNAcentral describes it as "partial 16S ribosomal RNA". It matches the Rfam family "Bacterial small subunit ribosomal RNA", at positions 524 to 776 of the family's 1533-position model. The record is from RNAcentral.
UACGUAGGGGGCGAGCGUUAUCCGGAUUCAUUGGGCGUAAAGCGCGCGUAGGCGGCCGCCUAAGCGGAACCUCUAACCCCGGGGCUCAACCUCGGGCCGGAUUCCGGACUGGGCGGCUCGAGUGCGGUAGAGGAGAGCGGAAUUCCCGGUGUAGCGGUGGAAUGCGCAGAUAUCGGGAAGAACACCGAUGGCGAAGGCAGCUCUCUGGGCCGUCACUGACGCUGAGGCGCGAAAGCUGGGGGAGCGAACAGG